UACUCUACUCCUACGGGAGGCAGCAGUGGGGAAUAUUGCGCAAUGGGCGAAAGCCUGACGCAGCAACGCCGCGUGCGGGAUGACGGCCUUCGGGUUGUAAACCGCUUCAGCAGGGACGAAACUGACGGUACCUGCAGAGAGACCGCCC
Molecule: ribosomal RNA, 148 nt
Filed under: uncultured bacterium
Lineage: Bacteria
Description: partial 16S ribosomal RNA
Rfam family: Bacterial small subunit ribosomal RNA
Source: RNAcentral